This 625-nucleotide ribosomal RNA is filed under the name Trichoderma asperellum. RNAcentral's name for it is "eukaryotic LSU rRNA". The stretch from base 234 to 387 matches the Rfam family "5.8S ribosomal RNA". Lineage: Eukaryota; Fungi; Ascomycota; Sordariomycetes; Hypocreales; Hypocreaceae. The record is from RNAcentral.
UUUUAGUAAAAACAAGGUCUCCGUUGGUGAACCAGGGGGGGGAUCAUUACCGAGUUUACAACUCCCAAACCCAAUGUGAACGUUACCAAACUGUUGCCUCGGCGGGGUCACGCCCCGGGUGCGUCGCAGCCCCGGAACCAGGCGCCCGCCGGAGGAACCAACCAAACUCUUUCUGUAGUCCCCUCGCGGACGUAUUUCUUUACAGCUCUGAGCAAAAAUUCAAAAUGAAUCAAAACUUUCAACAACGGAUCUCUUGGUUCUGGCAUCGAUGAAGAACGCAGCGAAAUGCGAUAAGUAAUGUGAAUUGCAGAAUUCAGUGAAUCAUCGAAUCUUUGAACGCACAUUGCGCCCGCCAGUAUUCUGGCGGGCAUGCCUGUCCGAGCGUCAUUUCAACCCUCGAACCCCUCCGGGGGAUCGGCGUUGGGGAUCGGGACCCCUCACACGGGUGCCGGCCCCUAAAUACAGUGGCGGUCUCGCCGCAGCCUCUCCUGCGCAGUAGUUUGCACAACUCGCACCGGGAGCGCGGCGCGUCCACGUCCGUAAAACACCCAACUUUCUGAAAUGUUGACCUCGGAUCAGGUAGGAAUACCCGCUGAACUUAAGCAUAUCAAAGGGGGGGAGGAAA